AAUAGCAGCCAUAUCACCCUGCAGCCCAAGACUGGUUGCCCAUUGAAGCUAAGCAGGGCUGAGCCUGCUCAGUACCUGGAUGGGAGACCUCCUGGGAAAACUAGGUUGCUGCUGGAA
Molecule: ribosomal RNA, 117 nt
Filed under: Sinocyclocheilus anshuiensis
Lineage: Eukaryota; Metazoa; Chordata; Actinopteri; Cypriniformes; Cyprinidae
Source: RNAcentral